RNAcentral lists this ribosomal RNA (384 nucleotides) under uncultured Strobilidiidae. RNAcentral describes it as "partial small subunit ribosomal RNA". It matches the Rfam family "Eukaryotic small subunit ribosomal RNA", at positions 30 to 432 of the family's 1831-position model. The record is from RNAcentral. Lineage: Eukaryota; Ciliophora; Spirotrichea; Choreotrichida; Strobilidiidae.
GCUUGUCUCAAAGAUUAAGCCAUGCAUGUCUAAGUAUAAAUAACUACACAGUAAAACUGCGAAUGGCUCAUUAAAACAGUUAUAGUUUAUUUGAUACAUUAUAAAUGGAUAACUGUAGAAACACUAGAGCUAAUACAUGCCAAGCCCGCAAGGGCGUAUUUAUUAGAUAACAGACCAAUAUUCCUCGUGUCUAUUGUGGUGAAUCAUAGUAACUGAUCGGAUCGCAUGGGCUACGCCCGCGACAAACCAUUCAAGUUUCUGCCCCAUCAGCUUUCGAUGGUAGUGUAUUGGACUACCAUGGCUUUUACGGGUAACGGAGGAUUAGGGUUCGAUUCCGGAGAGGGAGCCUGAGAAACGGCUACCACAUCUAAGGAAGGCAGCAGG